CUCUUCUUCAACAAUUUGUAGUGUUUCCUCUUCUACCGUAACAUUUAAAGGCAUUGAACCAACAGAAUAGUUUUAGUACAAAGUACUGUUAAAGGUAAAAAUAUGCUUUAAUAAGUUUUUACGGGUCAGCCAAAUUCUUUACCGUGUAAAAAACAUUAAUGUAUGCUUAAUUAAGUCGUUUGUUGAGUUGAGAAUAUGCUCGGGUCUUUGAAUUUAGGGAAGGGCCUAACUUGGAAACAUUGGAGGCAAUGAUUUUCUAUUUUUUCAAAUUAAAUGACUAAAAUAGACAAGCGAUGAAGCCAAUCCCGAUCAUCGCAGUCUGACUUUUUUGUUUCUAACUCUUGGUUCAAUUAAUGUAGGAUUAUAUUUUAAUAGUUAAAAGGAAUUAUUGAUGUUUUUGUUCUUUUAGCAUUAUCACAAUUGAAAGUAUAGCCGUUCUUUUGUUUCCCGAAACAUUGUAUUAGCCUCUUUGAAUUCAGUUUACUCAAAGAGCAUAACGUUAUGCUCUUAACCCGAAGUACUUUCUACCUAUAUUUUCUUUUUCAUUAACUAAAUAGCACAGGGAACUCGAGUUUAAGUGCAUACCACUAAUGUACUGGUUGCUUAAAAUGAUUAUUGCCAAUUUUAAUUUGAGGGUUUCUUCUCCUUAUAUAAUAUUUAAUUUAACUUGAGUUUCAAAUUUGGAAGUAUCAUGCUUCUAAUCCGGCCUUGGUAAUUGUAUUAUUCAUAAUUGUUUGAUUAUAUAUUAUACUUCUAUUGUCACCGUUUGCAAAGCAAAAGAAAAAAUCUUUUUGCACAACGAAGUACAUCAAAUUGGAUUAUAUUAUGGAAUAUUGAUUAAUAAAUACUGUACUCUACAUUGAGAUAUUGUUGUUGUUUGAUACUGGAUGUGUGCAUAUGUUUUUUCCAAAAUGCGUAGUCUUCAAAAGAUGUAUACGCUUCUCAUGAUCACUAUUGAAAUCAAUAGGCUAUAAAAUCAAAAAAUAAAGAGUCC
Non-coding RNA from Schizosaccharomyces pombe (fission yeast), 994 nucleotides. The record is from the annotation of a GenBank genome assembly. NCBI's taxonomy places the organism in Eukaryota, Fungi, Ascomycota, Schizosaccharomycetes, Schizosaccharomycetales, Schizosaccharomycetaceae.